GAAAUGCGAUAAGUAAUGUGAAUUGCAGAAUUCAGUGAAUCAUCGAAUCUUUGAACGCACCUUGCGCUCCUUGGUAUUCCUUGGAGCAUGCCUGUUUGAGUAUCAUGAAAUCUUCAAAGUAAAUCUUUUGUUAACUCAAUUGGUUUCUACUUUGGUAUUGGAGGUCUUUGCAGCUUCACACCUGCUCCUCUUUGUUCAUUAGCUGGAUCUCAGUGUAAUGCUUGGUUCCACUCGGCGUGAUAAGUUAUCUAUCGCUGAGGACACUGUAAAAGGUGGCCAAGGUAAAUGCAGAUGAACCGCUUCUAAUAGUCCAUUGACUUGGACAAUACUUUUAUGAUCUGAUCUCAAAUCAGGUAGGACUACCCGCUGAACUUAAGC
Molecule: unclassified non-coding RNA, 378 nt
Filed under: plant metagenome
Description: partial contains 5.8S ribosomal RNA, internal transcribed spacer 2, and large subunit ribosomal RNA
Rfam family: 5.8S ribosomal RNA (bases 1-105)
Source: RNAcentral